GGAGAGAUGCCUGAGAGGUUGAAAGGGGCGGUCUCGAAAACCGUUGUCCCGGGUGACUGGGACCGAGGGUUCGAAUCCCUCUCUCUCCG
This 89-nucleotide transfer RNA is filed under the name Spirochaetota bacterium. RNAcentral describes it as "Spirochaetes bacterium (anaerobic digester metagenome) tRNA-Ser". It matches the Rfam family "tRNA". Rfam says of the family: Transfer RNA (tRNA) molecules are approximately 80 nucleotides in length. Lineage: Bacteria; Pseudomonadati; Spirochaetota. The record is from RNAcentral.